GACGUAGGGGACGAGCGUUGUCCGGAUUCAUUGGGCGUAAAGCGCGCGUAGGCGGCCACGCAAGUCGGGUGUGAAAUCCCGGAGCUCAACUCCGGAACUGCACUCGAAACUGCGCGGCUUGAGGUAGGUAGGGGAGAUCGGAAUUCCUGGUGUAGCGGUGGAAUGCGCAGAUAUCAGGAGGAACACCGGUGGCGAAGGCGGAUCUCUGGGCCUUACCUGACGCUGAGACGCGAAAGCUAGGGGAGCGAACGGG
RNAcentral lists this ribosomal RNA (253 nucleotides) under uncultured bacterium. RNAcentral's name for it is "partial 16S ribosomal RNA". It matches the Rfam family "Bacterial small subunit ribosomal RNA", at positions 524 to 776 of the family's 1533-position model. The record is from RNAcentral.